This is a non-coding RNA of Aegilops tauschii subsp. strangulata, 557 nucleotides long. NCBI's taxonomy places the organism in Eukaryota, Viridiplantae, Streptophyta, Magnoliopsida, Poales, Poaceae. The record is from RefSeq and is a predicted model, not a curated record.
CGAGCAUAUCCCAGCGCUGGGCUCUGUCGGAGGCGCGACACUUCCACGCCCGUGCUCUUCCCCGUCCUUUGAAUCCGUUGGCCCAAGUGCCCAAGGAUGGGCUUGAGCUCGGCAUGCUCACGGGCGACCCAGCGCGGAGGCCCGCAACAAGACAACAAGGAGCGGGGCGUGGGUGCGCAAAAACUUCUGGGCACAGUUCGAUGCCUCCACUGGUGUGCCUCUGUUUGAUGUUCUAUUCAAGAUCCCUGUACAAUUGUGUUAUUCAAGAUACAAUGGCACUCGAUGAUGCUUGCUAACAAGGUCUGCAAUGCAAUAUGCACUGGACUGUUGCUUGCCAGAUGACUGGAAGACGGAUAAAUUUGCUUGCAAGGUUCUUGAUGAUAUAUCCAUUUUCAUCAAAUUCUUAAGGGUAUGGUCAAUUGGAGAAGACAUUACUAUGACUACAAAGAUCUGUUUUUUCAGGUGAUGAAUUGUAACCUUAUAUUCUUUAUUACUUGGAAUUGAAAAUCACUGGAAACAAUCCGUAAUUACUUUGGAGAGAAUAUUUUAUUCUUUUC